RNAcentral lists this transfer RNA (92 nucleotides) under Catellatospora methionotrophica. RNAcentral's name for it is "tRNA-Asp". Lineage: Bacteria; Bacillati; Actinomycetota; Actinomycetes; Micromonosporales; Micromonosporaceae. The record is from RNAcentral.
GUCGCGCUCGUCGACGGCCGACUGCGGGGCGGCCAUCGCCUGCUCGGGCAGCGACUCGGCGGGGCGCUCGCCGUUCCACCGGCGACGCCACC